ACCCCUACCUCCUCCGUCAGCACCGUCGCGUUCAUCUUCUGUUCAGCGUACAAUGGCCACGUCACCAUCGCUACUCCGUUCACUAUUCCCUCUAACGACGAGUUCCAUCCACAGUGCGUCACAAAUCCUCUCACCGAUCUGUGACUCAAAAUCUCCGCCUGUGGUGCCCACAUCGGAACUACUAAACCCACCUCUUUCGUCCUUUCUAUGAACCCUUCCGGCAAGUAGUGAGGCGGCGAAUCGUCUGCCGAUCCGGUUCCCGCCGUGAAAAAUGCUCCGACGGAAUCGGUCCCUGAUGGCGGCCGUAUCACCCAAACAAACCUCUGCUGACUCAGCUCUAACCCCCACGCCAAUUCCGUGAUUUGUUCUGCACACAACGUCCCUCCACUCCCAAAAGACACGUAUAUCACUGAUUCAUCCGGUUGCCGGUCGAGCCACUUCAGCACGUCACUCUCCAAAUUGGGCUCGCUUUGUCUAGUCAACGGCCCAAUUGGAUAAAUCGGGACUUGGUUGACUUUUCCUUUACUGAGGGUCCCAACUUCAGUCAGUGCUUUUAGCGUUGUGGGCUCCAGAUCCUGCCACGUAUUCGUUAAGAUCCCAUCGGCCCUUCCAAGUUCCCGUGCGAAACCUCCGAAUCCCUCGUAAGCAUUCUGCUGGUUCAACUGGAACACCUUGAUGGUAUCUUCGAACCGUAGCGGGGUGCAACCCGGUAUUUUGAGAGGUUCGUGGUUGUACACGUGGGCGUCAAUGGUUGGUCUGUCCAUGGAAGGGUAAAAUAAGG
This 781-nucleotide unclassified non-coding RNA is filed under the name Hevea brasiliensis (rubber tree). The record is from RNAcentral. Lineage: Eukaryota; Viridiplantae; Streptophyta; Magnoliopsida; Malpighiales; Euphorbiaceae.